CAGUCGCCACGGUAAUACGAAGGGUGCAAGCGUUAAUCGGAAUUACUGGGCGUAAAGCGUGCGUAGGCGGUGAGUUAAGUCUGCUGUGAAAUCCCCGGGCUCAACCUGGGAAUGGCAAUGGAUACUGGCAAGCUAGAGUGUGUCAGAGGAUGGUGGAAUUCCCGGUGUAGCGGUGAAAUGCGUAGAGAUCGGGAGGAACAUCAGUGGCGAAGGCGGCCAUCUGGGACAACACUGACGCUGAGGCACGAAAGCGUGGGGAGCAAACAGGAUUAGAUACCCCCGUAGUCCCUGUCUCUUAUAC
RNAcentral lists this ribosomal RNA (301 nucleotides) under uncultured bacterium. Its description in RNAcentral is "partial 16S ribosomal RNA". It matches the Rfam family "Bacterial small subunit ribosomal RNA", at positions 509 to 807 of the family's 1533-position model. The record is from RNAcentral.